GAUGAACGCUGGCGGCGUGCUUAACACAUGCAAGUCGAACGGAAAUGCCACGCUGAUGCGAUUUCGGUCAAAUCUUGUGGCAUUUUAGUGGCGGACGGGUGAGUAACGCGUGGGUAACCUGCCUCACACCGGGGGAUAACACUUAGAAAUAGGUGCUAAUACCGCAUAAGCGCACGGGACCGCAUGGUCUUGUGUGAAAAACUCCGGUGGUGUGAGAUGGACCCGCGUCUGAUUAGCUGGUUGGCGGGGUAACGGCCCACCAAGGCGACGAUCAGUAGCCGGCCUGAGAGGGUGGACGGCCACAUUGGGACUGAGACACGGCCCAA
RNAcentral lists this ribosomal RNA (326 nucleotides) under uncultured bacterium. RNAcentral's name for it is "bacterial SSU rRNA". It matches the Rfam family "Bacterial small subunit ribosomal RNA", at positions 28 to 334 of the family's 1533-position model. The record is from RNAcentral.